RNAcentral lists this unclassified non-coding RNA (195 nucleotides) under uncultured fungus. Its description in RNAcentral is "sequence contains ITS1, 5.8S rRNA gene". Lineage: Eukaryota; Fungi. The record is from RNAcentral.
CCGAGUUAGGGUCUCCUCCGUGAGGCCCGACCUCCCAACCCCGUGUCUAAUAAACCUGUUUGUGUUGCUUCGGCGGAACGGCAGUUACCCACCCCCACACCCGGGGGAGGGAGACCGUCGCCGGGGGAUUCCACGGUCUCACGACCGCCCCUGGAGAGCGUCCGCCGAUGGCCCCAACCAAAUAACUACCAAACC